CCCAGCCCGGGCCCGGACACGCCCCGCUCCCAGCUGGAGAGAGGAAAUGGGAAGGAACACAGGAAGAGGUUCGAGCCUCUUCCCAUCCUGGACUGAGCGGAGGAGGACUUUGCCUGGGUUCUCGGUCGCCAGCUCGCCUCGGGUCCUGGCCCCUUGCCUCAGUUUCCCUUUCCUGCCCCCAAAGCGAGAACAGGGUGGAGGAGGUGGUGAGUCACUCCUACAGUUCCUGUUCCUGGCGUCCCCAUUCCCUUCUCCUAUCCCAGCAGCGGGAGGAGGAAGGAGAAGGGGAGCAUUGGGGACAGGUGGUGAAAAUGGGGCAAAAAUGGGAGGUGAGGGAUUGAGGGGGCCCGCGGAACUGCCUCGCUAAGGUUUAAUUUUGUGUGUGUGUAAAUAGGCCAGUGUAGGGGUGACCUCGCAAGCCAUUCCAUACCAAAGGGAGGAUGCCAAAGAUUGUUGGGGGAAACGUAGUCAUCCUCUGUGUGGGGGUGACAAGGCCGUGGGUGUCAGGCAUUCCUUUAGGGAAGGAAGGAUGGACCAAGAUUUCUACAGUCCAUGUUCCUCGGAGCUGUCUAUGUGUAGAACACAUCUACUCACGUCCACACUCUGGUGUCUGCGUUGGUGAGAACGUUCUAUAUAUGUGUGUGGAUAGGGGCACAUGUUCCUGCAGUGAGCCACACACCUGUGUGAUUGGGGGCGGGGCGGGGGGGGGACGUGGAUGGGGACUAACGAUACCAUCUUGAUGGAUAGAGAGCCGUCAUCCGUGGGCUCUAGCUCCCCUUCUGACACCUUCUGGCUGUGUGACCCCGAGCGCCUGACAACGCCCUAUGGCUACAAAUUGGGCUUCUUUUCUUCCUGGGGUCCCUUCCAGUUCCAUAGAUUAUCUUAGCUUGCUGCAGGAAGUCCAGACCCCCAGAUUUCCCAGGGAAUGGGAGGAGGGCAGGUGAACACCCACGUGAGGAAUAUAGACGAAGUUUCAUGAAGAAAGGAACUCACUUGCCCAACUUUGUAUCCCCACCCCAAACUAGCUAGCACACACGAGGCACUCAUUUAACCCGGGAGGUAGGGAGUGAGUAAUUUUUAUCCAUAUUGUGCCUUAUUGUUAUAUAUUUUAGCUAUGUGACCUUGAGCAAAUCCUUCUCAAUUUCCUUAUCUGUCAAAUAAAGGGGGUUAGACUCCAUGACCUCUGAGGUGC
RNAcentral lists this long non-coding RNA (1192 nucleotides) under Vombatus ursinus (common wombat). RNAcentral's name for it is "lncRNA (ENSVURG00010009454.1)". Lineage: Eukaryota; Metazoa; Chordata; Mammalia; Diprotodontia; Vombatidae. The record is from RNAcentral.